Molecule: long non-coding RNA, 828 nt
Organism: Mesoplodon densirostris (Blainville's beaked whale)
Lineage: Eukaryota; Metazoa; Chordata; Mammalia; Artiodactyla; Ziphiidae
Exons: 3
Source: RefSeq, a predicted model, not a curated record
CCAAUGGGGUGCGUGGGACGAGGGACCGAGGGGCUGCCGGUGCGUUUCCCUGGGCUACCCGGCGGUGAACCUGUGGCCGAAGGGUGCGGUGAACUGCGCAGCCCGGAACUUGAGCCCUGAGACUUCGCACCGUGAGGAGCAAGGAUUUUCCAGGCUAAAGCAGGAGGGGGCGGGAAGACGAAGAGGAGAGGGCAGAAAUGGGGGCUUUUACAUUUAGAGAGAGAAAGAAAGUUGUUGAGUAGUGGGGAAAGGUCUUGUGGGGAGUCCCGGCCUCACACUGGAGAGUUGAGUGUGUGCGUCCGGGGUGGCGAGGUGGGGAAGAUUCUUUGCUCUCGGCUCCUCGGCGGGAGGAACGGCGCUAUCCCUAGGAAUCCCCCAGGAAAUCCGGAUCUUCGCAGACAGGAUAGGUGAAAGAGAAUACACUCCAGUUGUGAAACACGCAUUUCGCAUCGCCGUUCUGUUUCCUUCCCUGAGAGCUCUCCUGGCUCGGACCUGCUUCCUGCAACGCUUUCCGCCUUCCCAGGCACCCCUCCCCCAGCCCUGUAGUUCUCUGUCCUUAAAGUUUAGGAACGAAUUGAGACAAGGCUUUCUGUACGUCGGGACAGGGGCUUCCCUGGUGGCACAGUGGUUAAGAAUCUGCCUGCCAAUGCAGGGGACAGGGGUUCAAGCCCUGGUCGAGGAAGAUCCCACAGCCGCAGGGCAGCUAAGCCGGUGCACCACAACUAUUGAGCCUGCCGUCUAGAGCCCCCGCUCGCAGCCAGCGCACUGCAACGAAGAGUCGCCCCUGCUUACCACAACUAGAGAAAAGCCCACGUGCAGCAACGAAGA